Molecule: ribosomal RNA, 273 nt
Filed under: Ornithodoros savignyi
Lineage: Eukaryota; Metazoa; Arthropoda; Arachnida; Ixodida; Argasidae
Description: partial 16S ribosomal RNA
Rfam family: Bacterial large subunit ribosomal RNA (bases 146-273)
Source: RNAcentral
UUUUUAAAAGAAUUAUUUUUAGUUUUUGUUUGGAAGAAGAUGCGGAUAUUUUUUUGUUAAUUGGGGUGAUUUUUAAAUUUUGGUUAACUUUAAAAGUGUGUUAUUGGAUCCAGUAAUAGUGAUAGAUUGAAUAAAAUACUCUAGGGAUAACAGCGUUAUUACUUUGGAUAGUUCAUAUAGAUAAAGUAGAUUGCGACCUCGAUGUUGGAUUAGGAUACCUUUAUUGAUGAAGAAGUCGUGAAAGGGGGUUUGCUCAACUUUUAAAUUCCUACA